RNAcentral lists this ribosomal RNA (437 nucleotides) under uncultured Actinomyces sp. Its description in RNAcentral is "bacterial SSU rRNA". It matches the Rfam family "Bacterial small subunit ribosomal RNA", at positions 339 to 776 of the family's 1533-position model. Lineage: Bacteria; Bacillati; Actinomycetota; Actinomycetes; Actinomycetales; Actinomycetaceae. The record is from RNAcentral.
CUACGGGAGGCAGCAGUGGGGAAUAUUGCACAAUGGGCGAAAGCCUGAUGCAGCGACGCCGCGUGAGGGAUGGAGGCCUUCGGGUUGUAAACCUCUUUCGCUCAUGGUCAAGCCGCAACAUUGGUUGUGGUGAGGGUAGUGGGUAAAGAAGCGCCGGCUAACUACGUGCCAGCAGCCGCGGUAAUACGUAGGGCGCGAGCGUUGUCCGGAAUUAUUGGGCGUAAAGGGCUUGUAGGCGGUUGGUCGCGUCUGCCGUGAAAUCCUCUGGCUUAACUGGGGGCGUGCGGUGGGUACGGGCUGACUUGAGUGCGGUAGGGGAGACUGGAACUCCUGGUGUAGCGGUGGAAUGCGCAGAUAUCAGGAAGAACACCGGUGGCGAAGGCGGGUCUCUGGGCCGUUACUGACGCUGAGGAGCGAAAGCGUGGGGAGCGAACAGG